GUGAAAGGAGCAUGGUGGGCAAAGAUGAUUCAGGCAAUUCUGGUUUUCAAUAAUCACGGGAAGCCCCGGCUAGUCCGCUUCUACCAGCGUUUCCCAGAAGAAAUUCAACAGCAGAUUAUUUGAGAGACCUUCCAUCUAGUUCUCAAGCGGGAUGACAACAUCUGUAACUUCUUGGAGGGUGGAAGUUUGACAGGUGGCUCUGACUACAAACUGAUUUAUCAGCAUUUUGCUACCCUCUAUUUUGUAUUUUGUGUGGAUUCAUCAGAGAGUGAACUUGGACCUCAUCCAGGUUUUUGUGGAGACUCUGGAUAUGUAUUUCAAAAUGUUUAUGAAUUGGAUUUGAUCUUCCAUAUGGAUAAGGUGCACUACGUUCUUCAGGAGGUGGUGAUGGGUGGGAUGGUGUUGGAAACAAACAUGAAUGAAAUCGUGGCUCAGGUUGAAGCUCAGAACAGGCCAGAGAAAUCCAAGGGUGGCCUUUCAGCAGCGCCUGCCCGGGCCGUGUCUGCCAUGAAAAACAUCAACCUGCCAGAGAUGCCUCGGAAUAUCAACAUUGGCGAUCUCAACAUCAAGGUCCCCAACCUGUCCCAGUUUGUCUGAGGGUGGAAGAUGGCUGAACUGAGUCCUUGGAACCAGCAAAGCUGAGCCAGUCCUGCAGCAAAACCCGCUCUGCGCCCUGGAGGAGUCCCACCUCGGGCAGUGGCCCCUGCUGUCCUGAAUCGGGAAGGAGUCCUGUGUCCACUGCCAGCCUGUGCUUGCAUCUCACCUA
This is an RNA transcript of Orcinus orca (killer whale), 766 nucleotides long. It is a transcript of the gene named AP-3 complex subunit sigma-2-like, with no coding region annotated. The record is from RefSeq and is a predicted model, not a curated record. The transcript has a single exon. NCBI's taxonomy places the organism in Eukaryota, Metazoa, Chordata, Mammalia, Artiodactyla, Delphinidae.